RNAcentral lists this unclassified non-coding RNA (134 nucleotides) under uncultured Ilyonectria. Its description in RNAcentral is "sequence contains ITS1". Lineage: Eukaryota; Fungi; Ascomycota; Sordariomycetes; Hypocreales; Nectriaceae. The record is from RNAcentral.
CCGAGUUUACAACUCCCAAACCCCUGUGAACAUACCAUUUGUUGCCUCGGCGGUGCCUGCUUCGGCAGCCCGCCAGAGGACCCAAACCCUUGAUUUUAUACAGUAUCUUCUGAGUAAAUGAUUAAAUUAAAGCA